RNAcentral lists this ribosomal RNA (473 nucleotides) under uncultured bacterium. RNAcentral describes it as "bacterial SSU rRNA". It matches the Rfam family "Bacterial small subunit ribosomal RNA", at positions 335 to 799 of the family's 1533-position model. The record is from RNAcentral.
ACUCCUACGGGAGGCAGCAGUGGGGAAUAUUGCACAAUGGGGAAACCCUGAUGCAGCCAUGCCGCGUGUGUGAAGAAGGCCUUCGGUUGUAAAGCACUUUCAGUAGGGAGGAAGGUAGUGUAGUUAACACCUGCAUUAUUUGACGUUACCUACAGAAGAAGCACCGGCUAACUCCGUGCCAGCAGCCGCGGUAAUACGGAGGGGUGCGAGCGUUAAUCGGAAUUACUGGGCGUAAAGCGCAUGCAGGCGGCCUGUUAAGUCAGAUGUGAAAGCCCGGGGGCUUAACCUCGGAAUUGCAUUUGAAACUGGCAGGCUAGAGUCUUGUAGAGGGGGUAGAAGUUUCAGGUGUAGCGGUGAAAUGCGUAGAGAUCUGAAGGAAUACCAGUGGCGAAGGCGGCCCCCUGGACAAAGACUGACGCUCAGAUGCGAAAGCGUGGGGAGCAAACAGGAUUAGAUACCCUGGUAGCACAGAG